UGGGCGGGUCCACCGUCAAAAUUAAAACAGCUACACAACACGAAGUCCUCUGGGUUCAGCUUUAUCAGCUCUCCUGCAAAUGUCUGACUGAACCUGACGUUCAGCUAUGGAGAGAUUCUCGCUGUUGAUUAGGCUACCAUAGGUGGUCCGCUGUCAGCAUAAACUACAAAGCUGGGACAAGAACUCAGUCUGCUCUCAGCUUUAUCAGCUCUGCUGUCAUGGUCGCUUUAACAUGGCCGUCACUCGUGGUUUUGUUCGCCUGUUCAUGGAUUGUUCUGUGUCAAGAGACACCGGAGCUGAAGGACAAGCCUGGAGAGAACGCCACUCUUCAGUGUCAGAGUCACAGAGGUGCUGACAUAGAAGUGAUAAAGUGGAUCAGACCUGACCUGAAGCCAGGUGAUUAUGUCUUCUACUUCAGAGACGGCCGCUCACAUGAAACUACCAGCAUGAAUCUUAUCGUGGUCGAGUGGAGCUGAGAGAUCCAGAGAUGAAGGACGGAGACGCUUCUGUGAUUCUGAAGAACGUCAACAUCAACGACGCUGGAACAUAUGAGUGUUGGGUUAGAGAGGGAAACAAUCCAGGAAAAUCUACAUUCAACAGCAUCAUCAGUCUGACAGUGACAGAUCCAGGUCACACAGCUGGACACAAGGAGGGAGGAGACGAGGAGGGAGGAGACAAGGAGGAAGGAGACGGGGAGGGAAAUGUUGGACUGAGAGUCGGUCUGCCAGUUUGUGUGAUUCUUCUUCUUCUUCUUCUUGGUGUUGGUGGUUUUGUGAUCUUUAAAGAAUAUAACAGACCCACAGGGAAUCAACAACCUGCUAUAAACAGACAUGAACUGCAGAACCUGCAGAGAGAUUAAGAGACCAGAGGCAGCAGAUGAGAAUUAGUGAGGAUCCAGACUGAAGUCACUCUG
Molecule: long non-coding RNA, 913 nt
Organism: Micropterus salmoides (largemouth bass)
Lineage: Eukaryota; Metazoa; Chordata; Actinopteri; Centrarchiformes; Centrarchidae
Exons: 3
Source: RefSeq, a predicted model, not a curated record